UACGUAGGGUCCAAGCGUUGUCCGGAAUUAUUGGGCGUAAGGGGCUCGUAGGCGGUUUGUCGCGUCGGGAGUGAAAACACGGGGCUUAACCCCGUGCCUGCUUCCGAUACGGGCAGACUAGAGGUAUGCAGGGGAGAACGGAAUUCCUGGUGUAGCGGUGAAAUGCGCAGAUAUCAGGAGGAACACCGGUGGCGAAGGCGGUUCUCUGGGCAUUAACUGACGCUGAGGAGCGAAAGUGUGGGGAGCGAACAGG
This 253-nucleotide ribosomal RNA is filed under the name uncultured bacterium. Its description in RNAcentral is "partial 16S ribosomal RNA". It matches the Rfam family "Bacterial small subunit ribosomal RNA", at positions 524 to 776 of the family's 1533-position model. The record is from RNAcentral.